GAUGAACGCUGGCGGCGUGCCUAAUACAUGCAAGUCGAGCGAACGGACGAGAAGCUUGCUUCUCUGAUGUUAGCGGCGGACGGGUGAGUAACACGUGGAUAACCUACCUAUAAGACUGGGAUAACUUCGGGAAACCGGAGCUAAUGCCGGAUAAUAUUUUGAACCGCAUGGUUCAAAAGUGAAAGACGGUCUUGCUGUCACUUAUAGAUGGAUCCGCGCUGCAUUAGCUAGUUGGUAAGGUAACGGCUUACCAAGGCAACGAUGCAUAGCCGACCUGAGAGGGUGAUCGGCCACACUGGAACUGAGACACGGUCCAGACUCGUACGGGAGGCAGCAUCAGGGAACCUACCGCAAUGGGCGAAAGCCUGACGGAGCAACGCCGCGUGAGUGAUGAAGGUCUUCGGAUCGUAAAACUCUGUUAUUAGGGAAGAACAAAUGUGUACGUAACUGUGCACAUCUUGAAGGUACCUAAUCAGAAAGCCACGGCUAACUACGU
This 496-nucleotide ribosomal RNA is filed under the name uncultured bacterium. RNAcentral describes it as "partial 16S ribosomal RNA". It matches the Rfam family "Bacterial small subunit ribosomal RNA", at positions 28 to 506 of the family's 1533-position model. The record is from RNAcentral.